GUCGAACGGUAACAUAAAGAAGCUUGCUUCUUUGAUGACGAGUGCCGUACGGGUGAGUAAUGCUUGGGAAUCUGGCUUAUGGAGGGCGAUAACUACGGGAAACUGUAGCUAAUACCGCGUAGAAUCGGGAGAUGAAAGUGUGGGACCUUCGGGCCACAUGCCAUAGGAUGAGCCCAAGUGGGAUUAGGUAGUUGGUGAGGUAAAGGCUCACCAAGCCGACGAUCUCUAGCUGGUCUGAGAGGAUGACCAGCCACACUGGGACUGAGACACGGCCCAGACUCCUACGGGAGGCAGCAGUGGGGAAUAUUGCGCAAUGGGGGCAACCCUGACGCAGCCAUGCCGCGUGAAUGAAGAAGGCCUUCGGGUUGUAAAGUUCUUUCGGUAGCGAGGAAGGCAUUUAGUUUAAUAGACUAGGUGAUUGACGUUAACUACAGAAGAAGCACCGGCUAACUCCGUGCCAGCAGCCGCGGUAAUACGGAGGGUGCGAGCGUUAAUCGGAAUAACUGGGCGUAAAGGGCACGCAGGCGGUGACUUAAGUGAGGUGUGAAAGCCCCGGGCUUAACCUGGGAAUUGCAUUUCAUACUGGGUCGCUAGAGUACUUUAGGGAGGGGUAGAAUUCCACGUGUAGCGGUGAAAUGCGUAGAGAUGUGGAGGAAUACCGA
Molecule: ribosomal RNA, 662 nt
Filed under: uncultured bacterium
Lineage: Bacteria
Description: bacterial SSU rRNA
Rfam family: Bacterial small subunit ribosomal RNA
Source: RNAcentral